RNAcentral lists this ribosomal RNA (293 nucleotides) under uncultured bacterium. RNAcentral describes it as "partial 16S ribosomal RNA". It matches the Rfam family "Archaeal small subunit ribosomal RNA", at positions 455 to 747 of the family's 1478-position model. The record is from RNAcentral.
GUGCCAGCAGCCGCGGUACUACCGGCAGCCCGAGUGAUGGCCGAUCUUAUUGGGCCUAAAGCGUCCGUAGCUGGCUGCGCAAGUCCGUCGGGAAAUCCACUCGCCCAACGAGUGGCCGUCCGGUGGAAACUCCACACCCUGGGACCGGAAGGCUCGAAGGGUACGUUCGGGGUAGGAGUGAAAUCCCAUAAUCCCGCACGGACCACCGAUGGCGAAAGCACUUCGAGAAAACGGAUCCGACAGUGAGGGACGAAAGCCAGGGUCUCCAACCGGAUUAGAAACCCCGGUAGUCC